Molecule: long non-coding RNA, 1804 nt
Filed under: Chrysolophus pictus (golden pheasant)
Lineage: Eukaryota; Metazoa; Chordata; Aves; Galliformes; Phasianidae
Description: lncRNA (ENSCPIG00010000635.1)
Source: RNAcentral
ACAGAAAAUAGCUCUUUGUACUUCAGUAGUACUAAAUGUAUGGGAUGUUUAAUGCUUUUGUCUGUGGCUAUGUAAAUCUGAAGCAUGCUGUUAGGGUUAAAGUAAGUGAACUCUUAAGUUGACACACACCAGUGUGUAUAUCAAAUGAAAAAUAAUUUAUGGUUCCUUUUGUCAAUAAUUGCUCAUCCAACUAGAAUUUAGCAUAGUCACUGAGAAAAAUAAGUAGGAACCUUCAUAACUUUAUAGAAUUUCUGUCAGAAGAAACCAUUUAUAGUUGGUCAUAGAUUCUCAGUGUUGUGAUUUUCCUUUUUUCAGGUCCUACCUGCUGUUCAGUGGUUGUAUGUGUGAGGUGUAUGUUAAAAGAGAGAGUCAGGGAUCAUAUCAUUUCCAUUUCCAGAGAUCCAAAGGGUUGCUAAUUUUGCUGAAUUACUUUCUGUAUUUCAUAUAGGACCAGCAGUGGUAAAGACAAACAGCAGUGGCUUGUUGGCUAGCCAGGGCACGGAUAGGCUGCUUGUACGUUUUCUUUUUUUGCCUUUGCAAAUCUGUAGUGCUACAGAAUAUGUCUUAUACUUGCAGAAGAGAAAAAAAGAGAACAAAGUGAAGAAAAAGAAAGAAAAGAAGAAAAAGAAAGAUAAAACAGGACCUGUCCAGCUUUCUAAGUUCUUCAAAAACAAAAAGAAGAAUGAGAACUAUAGCAUGAUAACUGGAAAGAAAAUUAAGAUGAAAAUAAAGAAGACUAAGAAGGAUAAAGAGAGAGACCGGAACCGUGCAGAGCUGCUUGAAUUUCUGAACUCUGCCUUAUAGUGGGAAGAGUGUGACCAAGGACUUGUAAGUACACCAAGCCAGUGAUGAUCAUGCCUAGCAAAAAAGCUAAAGAAAACUCAGGGAAAAGGAUGCCGAGUUUGACAAGUCCAGACUCCUGCUGAGACAAUCAGGAUAUCCUUUUUUAAUGGCAAAAUGAAGAUCAAACGAUAACUUGUUAAUGAAGAUCUAUGUCCUUCUUUUGAGAUGCUAUGGUAACAGCCAGGCUGUGGUGUUUUAGAAGAUCCUAAGAGUGUGUCAUUGGCAAUGACAUGAAUUGACACACUGAGGUCCAAUUCUGUCCUAACUGCAUGCAGAACACGGUUUUAAUUUCAAAUGUCUUAAAGUUUCCAGUAGCUUAAACAAAGCGGAUUAUUUGUAACUGUCUGUUGAAAGAUGAGGCAUUUCUAUGUGUAUAUUUUUUCCAGUAGUGGUUUUACUUGUCCUAAAGAACAGGUUGACCUUUGUAAAUAGAACAUCCUUUUACAUAAAUGCUUUUUUGACAGUUCAUUCAUUAAUAUAUUAUUUUAUUUCAGAGUGUGAGGUGUGGUCUUUCUCUGGACGGUUUUAUUACUCUUUGUCACUAGAAGCUUCAACACUAAAUAUUCUGGAGCAAUAAUAGUAGCUGGAUAAUUUUUAUUCCAAAACUGAAGAGGGAAAGUCUGUGGUUCUCUUUAUCUGGAUCAGCUGCUCACAGGCAGCACGCACUCACUGUAACUGAUUUACUCCCAUAUCUCAAGUUGCAGUUCCUAGAGCUAAGAAGCCUGAAGAUCUGGCCUGCCUUUCUGACCCUGUGAGCUGUUUGUCAAAUCUUCCUCUGUCUGAAGUACUGCCAGCACGUAGCAUACACCUGAGAGAAAGAGCCAUAGGAAUGGUUCUGAGGCAGGCAGUGACAGUGACAGAGAUGUCCAGGUGUGUUGUUGGUCUGCAGCUGCUGCCCAGCAUAGUGUGUGUGUGUGUGUUUUGGCCUUAGCAGAUUGCUCAAAGCCUGCUCACUUCUUCC